AGUGAACGCUGGCGGUAGGCCUAACACAUGCAAGUCGAACGGCAGCACAGUAAGAGCUUGCUCUUACGGGUGGCGAGUGGCGGACGGGUGAGGAAUACAUCGGAAUCUACUUUUUCGUGGGGGAUAACGUAGGGAAACUUACGCUAAUACCGCAUACGACCUACGGGUGAAAGCAGGGGAUCUUCGGACCUUGCGCGAUUGAAUGAGCCGAUGUCGGAUUAGCUAGUUGGCGGGGUAAAGGCCCACCAAGGCGACGAUCCGUAGCUGGUCUGAGAGGAUGAUCAGCCACACUGGAACUGAGACACGGUCCAGGCUCCUAAGGGAGGCAGCAGUGGGGAAUAUUGGACAAUGGGCGCAAGCCUGAUCCAGCCAUACCGCGUGGGUGAAGAAGGCCUUCGGGUUGUAAAGCCCUUUUGUUGGGAAAGAAAAGCAGCAGGUUAAUACCCCGCUGUUCUGACGGUACCCAAAGAAUAAGCACCGGCUAACUUCGUG
RNAcentral lists this ribosomal RNA (492 nucleotides) under uncultured bacterium. Its description in RNAcentral is "partial 16S ribosomal RNA". It matches the Rfam family "Bacterial small subunit ribosomal RNA", at positions 29 to 507 of the family's 1533-position model. The record is from RNAcentral.